This 128-nucleotide unclassified non-coding RNA is filed under the name Podospora anserina S mat+. It matches the Rfam family "Small nucleolar RNA U3", at positions 1 to 127 of the family's 219-position model. From Rfam's summary of the family: Small nucleolar RNAs (snoRNAs) are involved in the processing and modification of rRNA in the nucleolus. The record is from RNAcentral. Lineage: Eukaryota; Fungi; Ascomycota; Sordariomycetes; Sordariales; Podosporaceae.
UCGACAAUACUUCAGAGAAUCAUUUCUAUAGUAGUCGUCCUCUUUUGUAUUCCCCAAAGGAGCCACAGAUCCCACCCGGGUUGAUGAACGAUAUCCUCGACACCUACACAAUGAGGCCCUUUUACUUU